GAUGAACGCUGGCGGCGUGCCUAAUACAUGCAAGUCGAGCGAACAGACGAGGAGCUUGCUCCUCUGACGUUAGCGGCGGACGGGUGAGUAACACGUGGAUAACCUACCUAUAAGACUGGGAUAACUUCGGGAAACCGGAGCUAAUACCGGAUAAUAUAUUGAACCGCAUGGUUCAAUAGUGAAAGACGGUUUUGCUGUCACUUAUAGAUGGAUCCGCGCCGCAUUAGCUAGUUGGUAAGGUAACGGCUUACCAAGGCGACGAUGCGUAGCCGACCUGAGAGGGUGAUCGGCCACACUGUAACUGAGACACGGUCCAGACUCCUACGGGAGGCAGCAGUAGGGAAUCUUCCGCAAUGGGCGAAAGCCUGACGGAGCAACGCCGCGUGAGUGAUGAAGGUCUUCGGAUCGUAAAACUCUGUUAUUAGGGAAGAACAAAUGUGUAAGUAACUAUGCACGUCUUGACGGUACCUAAUCAGAAAGCCACGGCUAACUGCGUG
Molecule: ribosomal RNA, 497 nt
Filed under: uncultured bacterium
Lineage: Bacteria
Description: partial 16S ribosomal RNA
Rfam family: Bacterial small subunit ribosomal RNA
Source: RNAcentral